Molecule: long non-coding RNA, 533 nt
Organism: Eriocheir sinensis (Chinese mitten crab)
Lineage: Eukaryota; Metazoa; Arthropoda; Malacostraca; Decapoda; Varunidae
Exons: 3
Source: RefSeq, a predicted model, not a curated record
UUUCUUCAGGUUCAAGGUACAGAAGAAGACUCACACUACCACCAGGGUCAUAAAAGUACCCCUGGAAAUGCCCACAACUCCUACGAAAGCCUUGUCAAAUAGGUGUUUCUAGGUUCAGGGUACAGAAGAAGGGUCACACUACCACCAGGGUCAUAAAAGUACCCCUGGAAAUGCCCACAACUCCUACGAAAGCCUUGUCAAAUAGGUGUUUCUAGGUUCAGGGUACAGAGGAAGGGUCACACUACCACCAGGGUCAUAAAACUACCCCUGGAAAUGCCCACAACUCCUACGAAAGCCUUGUCAAAUAGGUGUUUCUAGGUUCAUGGUACAGAAGAAGGGUCACACUACCACCAGGGUCAUAAAAGUACCCCUGGAAAUGCCCACAACUCCUACGAAAGCCUUGUCAAAUAGGUGUUUCUAGGUUCAUGGUACAGAAGAAGGGUCACACUACCACCAGGGUCAUAAAAGUACCCCUGGAAAUGCCCACAACUCCUACGAAAGCCUUGUCAAAUAUGUGUUCUUGGGCGGCGAAA